CUCUAUUCUGCCUUGGUCAGACCACACCUGGAAUACUGUGUCCAAUUCUGGGCACCGCAAUUGAAGGGAGACGUUGACAAGCUGGAAUGUGUCCAGAGGAGGGCAACUAAAAUGAUUAAGGGUCUGGAGAACAAGCCCUAUGAGGAGCGGCUUAAAGAGCUGGGCAUGUUUAGCCUGCAGAAGAGAAGGUUGAGAGGAGACAUGAUAGCCAUGUACAAAUACGUGAAGGGAAGUCAUAGGGAGGAGGGAGCAAGCAUGUUUUCUGCUGCCCUGGAGACUAGGACACGGAACAAUGGCUUCAGACUACAGGAAAGGAGAUUCCACCUGAACAUCAGGAAGAACUUCCUCACUGUGAGAGCUGUUCGACAGUGGAACUCUCUACCCCAGACUGUGGUGGAGGCUCCUUCUUUGGAGGCUUUUAAACAGAGGCUGGAUGGCCAUCUGUCGGGGGUGCUUUGAAUGCAAUUUCCUGCUUCUUGGCAGGGGGUUGGAUUGGAUGGCCCAUGAGGUCUCUUCCAACUCUACUAUUCUAUGAUUCUAUUAUUCUAGUCAUAAACUCAUUCUUUCUCGAAGUGUCGCAGUCCCGCACCAUGUAAGUGCAAGGUCAUUAACCAGAGCACCCUCUGCCAUUCACAGAUCUCUUUGUGGAAAUAUCAACCAAUUAUUGUUGCCCAUCCAAGCACACAGCAUCACAAGGGGCCUUUCUGAGGUCAGACACCUGAGCAUAAAGCAGUUGGUUACAGAAAAAUGGGGGGGGGGGGGGGGGUUAGAAUGACGCAUGUAUACAUCCAAAUGACAUUUUGAAAGACUUGAUAUUAUUUCCAUCUAUAUGCAGUUGGACACUGCCUUUUACAAGAUUACCAUUCUGAUUGAAGCAUGAGAAGUGUUUUAUGUUGUAUUACUUUUGUUUCACUCGGUUUUCAAUAUGACAGUGAGAUGACCUCAAGUGAAGAGAUUUCAAAGGUACAGUGGAGUCUCACUUAUCCAAGCUAAACGGGCCAGCAGAAGCUUGGAUAAGGGAAUAUCUUGGAUUAUAAGGACAAAUUAAGGAAAAGCCUAUUAAACAUCAAAUUAGGUUAUGAUUUUACAAAUUAAGCACCAAAACAUCAUGUUUUACAACAAAUUUGACAGAAAAAGUAGUUCAAUACGCAAUAAUGUUAUGUUGUAAUUACUGUAUUUACAAAUUUAGCAUCAAAAUAUCAUGAUUUAUUGAAAACAUUGACUACAAAAAUGGCUUGGAUAAUCCAGAGGCUUGGAUAAGCGAGGCUUGGAUAAGUGAGCCUAUACUGUAAUUCUCAAGAAAAAAAUGUGUUAAAUAAGGUGGAUUUAUUUUUUUUAUUUUAAAUGAAAGGACAAAAAAGUAGAAAGAGACAUUCUAAAGUGCCACAGAUUUUUCAGCCUUAGAUUCAAGGCAAAGCUCAAGGCAAUGUACUUUGAGAUCCAGGGUUUGAAGUACUGUGCAGUAAUCUACAGAGUGAUUUUGUUAAUUUCAAUAUAUAUUAUCUGAGGUCAUACUGAAAUUCUGUAUUUCUAACACAUUUCCCAGAAUCUCCUAUCUAGUAUGGCUUAAUGACCAAGGUGGCUUGGGGGAAAAGUGGAAAUUAUUACCAAUUUUCUCCCCAAGAAGUGUCGGCACCUUGUAAUAUAUCUCUCUCUAACAUUCUGAACCAAGUAAAAGACCUCUCCAUUCAUACAUCCUGCUCAUAACUUUUUCGGAUUUCCCAGGGUUUUACCCCCACAUUGGUUUUCAGUUGCUGAGCUUACCCUGGACCAUGUAAAUCAUUAUACAAAAGGGAGGCGCAUAUGCACAUACACACUAAAAAUCUCAUAGUGAGGAGCAUGGCCUCAGUUGGGCUGGUGGUUAUUCUUUGGGACCAAUUGUGCCUCACAACUCAUCCCCUCGCUCCUAUUGGUUAGUCUAAAAACAGUCAUGUGCCUUGAAAUGCAGCUAGGUGAAGCCACUAGACACUGAAAGGCUGGUCAUGACUAUAACCAGGGGACGUGGGUGAAGACUGCAAAGUAGUUGUGAAAGUCCUCCUUGGUAGCCUGUGCUCAGGUUUCCUUGGGGGUUGAAAAAGGCAGCCAUUGCAGAUAAUCUGGGAAUGCAGGCCAAAUACUUCUUGUAUCACCUCAAGAAGAAGGGGAAAUGGUUGCUCCACACCCAGACCUCAGCUUGACCAUCAGAGUCCCAACCUCAGAGAAAGGUUAUGGGAUUCUCCCACCUUCAGCACAAGCAUUGGACACCAACCUUUUCAAUGCCACUCCAGUUCUGCCCACGUUCAGCUCAGAAAAGGACCUCUCUUCUUCAAAUCCCCCCACAAUUCGGGGUCUAAAGAACAUGAAUUCAGCUCUUUCACAGAAUAAUACCUCCACGCCAAGCUUCCUCAAUGAUGAUGCAACUGACUUGAAAACAGCAAGUUUCGUGGGGCCGCAACAUUCAGAUCAAGACAGCCAAGUACCAGAGUCCUGCUCUUGCCUUCUUUUAUCCACACUGGGGAACAGGGAUAGUACCUGUAUUAUCUUUCCUGAAGAUUCCCUUCCACUAGCCAAAUCAUCUUUUUUCUUGAAUAUGGCUGUAAAACAGGCAGAAGGGAGGAGGAAAGACAUGGAGCGGCAGCUGUCUAGCAUGGCGGCUAGGUUGAAAGCCAUACAGGAACAGGAAUGUCUGUGGUUACAAGAGCUGGUACCAGCCAUAUGUCAGGUUCAUUUGGAGCUUGCAGAUAUUGGUCAGAGCCUGGGCCGGCUGGUACAGCCAUUGGGGUCUCAGGCUCUGUCUCCCUUCCCCCCUGUUCUGGAGAAGAUGGGCAGGAAAGCAAAGGAGAGCAAUGCUGAGGGAAAGUCACCAUUCUCCAAAGCAUCUUCACAUCCUUGCCAAGGAUUGCCUGAGGAAAUCUAAACAUAUACAGCUCAGAGCUGUGCUAUAUAUUAAAGACAUGACAGACAGAAUAAUG
This is a long non-coding RNA of Anolis carolinensis (green anole), 2951 nucleotides long. RefSeq lists it as uncharacterized. Lineage: Eukaryota; Metazoa; Chordata; Lepidosauria; Squamata; Anolidae. The record is from RefSeq and is a predicted model, not a curated record. The transcript has 2 exons.